UACGUAGGGUACGAGCGUUAAUCGGAAUUACUGGGCGUAAAGCGUGCGCAGGCGGUUCGUGAUGUCUGGUGUGAAAGCCCCGGGCUUAACCUGGGAAUUGCAUUGGAAACUAGCGGGCUGGAGUGUGGCAGAGGGGGGUGGAAUUCCACGUGUAGCAGUGAAAUGCGUAGAGAUGUGGAGGAACACCGAUGGCGAAGGCAGCCCCCUGGGCUAACACUGACGCUCAUGCACGAAAGCGUGGGGAGCAAACAGG
Molecule: ribosomal RNA, 253 nt
Filed under: uncultured bacterium
Lineage: Bacteria
Description: partial 16S ribosomal RNA
Rfam family: Bacterial small subunit ribosomal RNA
Source: RNAcentral